CUUUUCCCUUAGUAGUAGAGUAAUGCCACGGAAAGACGGAAGUCGUCAUUGGUUCGAAUCCGAUAGAG
This 68-nucleotide transfer RNA is filed under the name Chloris barbata. Its description in RNAcentral is "tRNA-Thr". Lineage: Eukaryota; Viridiplantae; Streptophyta; Magnoliopsida; Poales; Poaceae. The record is from RNAcentral.